AUCGGAUUCAAUUUUCACUUUCUCUUCCUUGAGAAGUUCCAGCCGUUUAGAUGUUUCUUGAAGAUCUCUUUGAAGUGUCUCUAAUUGGACUCGGUUUGAUGGUCCACUUGCUCUUUGCUCACUCAAGGAGUCAUUCCCUCCGGUUUUAGAGAGGUCCUCGGCUAAAGUUGCAUUUCUACCAAGAAGGUCCUGUAUCUCGGUGCAUUGCUUCUCUACAAAUGCUUUUAGCCGCUUGAUGUACUCACCAUCAGUUUCCCCUUUCCUCUGCUCUAGUUCUGCUGGCACCACAG
This 290-nucleotide unclassified non-coding RNA is filed under the name Hevea brasiliensis (rubber tree). Lineage: Eukaryota; Viridiplantae; Streptophyta; Magnoliopsida; Malpighiales; Euphorbiaceae. The record is from RNAcentral.